GACAAUUGUUUCUUGUAGGUAAGCUGUUUCUUCACCUCUGCACUGGUUACAAGGGGAGGAAGGCCCCCAUCUUCACCCCAGAGCUCAGAUGCCCUUGGACAGCAGAGGAAGCCCAACUGCUAGUUGUCCAAAAACCAUGAGCACCCAGGACCCUUCCCACCCAGUCUUUGUGCUGAAUAAUAUUACUUGGGAAAGAAUUCAUUUUAAGCCUGUCCUACUGCUCCUCGCCAGAGACGGUUGCUGUUUUCCAGGGAUGCCUCAGAACAUGUUCUGACCGCCUUGAGUCUGCCCGCGAGCACCAAGCUCGGUCAGCUGCAGGUGCAUGAGAAACAGGCUACCCUCAAAUGGGUGGCUGUUUUUCGCUGAGAUUUCUGUGGCUGAACAUUGACCUGCCAAGUAUACUUCAAAUGUUUUUCUUGAAGAGAUAAAAGGGCAAAGUUCCUCCCAGUAUUACGUACUUACCGGGAAAUGGGGAGCAGCCAGUGAGGAGGUGCAGCUGGAAAAGCUAACCCGUAUGCAAAAAAAGGUGGGCUUAUUUCUUUCGUCAGAUACAAGUUUUUAACUGUGUAUAACUGGGCAGAUGAUUAUGCAAUGAUUGUUAGUUUAAAAGUAUUAGGAAUUGUAUAAAUUCCCCAACAAUCCACAAGUUAUUGGUCAUUGCCCUAUUAAUUCCUUGAUCGAAAAAGAAAACUAACACCAGCUUUUAAGGUCAUUUCUUUUUAUCUAAGUGCAAAAAUGUACUGCCCCUAAAAGAUAUUGUUAUGAAUAGUCAAUAUGAGAAUUUAUUACAUUUAUUUUAGGGUUUUACUCGUAUGCACUCAAGUUCUUCCUGUAUUCUUACUUGACUGAACAGGUAGUGCAAGAAUUUUGGAUGUUCAGAAAAAGGUACAUUGUGAAAUUCUGGUUAAAGUCAGAAAUAUGCGCACCAUAUUUAAAAUAUUUAUAGGGCUUACUUCUGCAUUCUUCUUGUUAAACUACUCUUUCCUAAAAUAGAGUUUAUUUGCAGUCACAUGUAGAAGUUAUGGAAUACAAGACUUACACAAAAGAAAAUUAUUUUGACAUUGCAAUAAACAUGUUAAUAUCACACAGUGCAAUGCCUAGCACAUACGAGGUGUUUAAUAAAUGUUUGUUAAAUAAA
Molecule: long non-coding RNA, 1138 nt
Organism: Lagenorhynchus albirostris (white-beaked dolphin)
Lineage: Eukaryota; Metazoa; Chordata; Mammalia; Artiodactyla; Delphinidae
Exons: 2
Source: RefSeq, a predicted model, not a curated record